RNAcentral lists this transfer RNA (70 nucleotides) under Lagocephalus lagocephalus (oceanic puffer). Its description in RNAcentral is "tRNA-Trp". It matches the Rfam family "tRNA". Rfam says of the family: Transfer RNA (tRNA) molecules are approximately 80 nucleotides in length. The record is from RNAcentral. Lineage: Eukaryota; Metazoa; Chordata; Actinopteri; Tetraodontiformes; Tetraodontidae.
AGGGAUUUAGGUUAAUAUAGACCAAGAGCCUUCAAAGCCCUCAGUGGGAGCUAAAAUCUCUCAAUCCCUG